UUUCAACACAUCCUGCAUACAUUAUGUAAACAAUAAAUAUUUCUGCAAAUUGCCUAGUGCACAUGACAUACAGACAUUAUUUAGCAAUUUUUAUGAGAACCAAGGGAUAGGUACCUGAUUGACGAAAUAUAUAAGACAGUUAUGAGAAGAAAAAGAAACAAUGGCCAGGAAUAUCACAACAGCAGUAGUUUUGAUUUUAAUGCUUUUUGUUGUUAGAGUUGAUGGAAUUCCUUGUAAAGACGGUCAAGUACAGCGAAUAAAUAAUACUGGCAAUAAAAUCUGUUGUUAUACAACUGUUUGUGCAGAAA
Molecule: long non-coding RNA, 308 nt
Organism: Mytilus trossulus (common blue mussel)
Lineage: Eukaryota; Metazoa; Mollusca; Bivalvia; Mytilida; Mytilidae
Exons: 3
Source: RefSeq, a predicted model, not a curated record